This is a long non-coding RNA of Oncorhynchus keta (chum salmon), 1454 nucleotides long. RefSeq lists it as uncharacterized. The record is from RefSeq and is a predicted model, not a curated record. Lineage: Eukaryota; Metazoa; Chordata; Actinopteri; Salmoniformes; Salmonidae. The transcript has 6 exons.
GAGGCAGGUAGCCUAGUGGUUAGAGGAGACAGGUAGCCUAGUGGUUAGAGGAGACAGGUAGCCUAGUGGUUAGAGGAGGCAGGUAGCCUAGUGGUUAGAGGAGACAGGUAGCCUAGUGGUUAGAGGAGACAGGUAGCCUAGUGGUUAGAGGAGGCAGGUAGCCUAGUGGUUAGAGGAGGCAGGUAGCCUAGUGGUUAGAGGAGGCAGGUAGCCUAGUGGUUAGAGGAGGCAGGUAGCCUAGUGGUUAGAGGAGGCAGGUAGCCUAGUGGUUAGAGGAGGCGGGUAGCCUGGUGGUUAGAGGAGGCAGGUAGCCUAGUGGUUAGAGGAGACAGGUAGCCUAGUGGUUAGAGGAGGCAGGUAGCCUAGUGGUUAGAGGAGACAGGUAGCCUAGUGGUUAGAGGAGACAGGUAGCCUAGUGGUUAGAGGAGGCAGGUAGCCUAGUGGUUAGAGGAGACAGGUAGCCUAGUGGUUAGAGGAGACAGGUAGCCUAGUGGUUAGAGGAGGCAGGUAGCCUAGUGGUUAGAGGAGGCAGGUAGUCUAGUGGUUAGAGGAGGCAGGUAGCCUAGUGGUUAGAGGAGGCAGGUAGCCUAGUGGUUAGAGGAGGCAGGUAGCCUAGUGGUUAGAGGAGGCAGGUAGCCUAGUGGUUAGAGGAGGCAGGUAGCCUAGUGGUUAGAGGAGGCAGGUAGCCUAGUGGUUAGAGGAGGCAGGUAGCCUGGUGGUUAGAGGAGGCAGGUAGCCUAGUGGUUAGAGGAGGCAGGUAGCCUAGUGGUUAGAGGAGGCAGGUAGCCUGGUGGUUAGAGGAGGCAGGUAGCCUAGUGGUUAGAGGAGACAGGUAGCCUAGUGGUUAGAGGAGGCAGGUAGCCUAGUGGUUAGAGGAGACAGGUAGCCUAGUGGUUAGAGGAGACAGGUAGCCUAGUGGUUAGAGGAGGCAGGUAGCCUAGUGGUUAGAGGAGGCAGGUAGUCUAGUGGUUAGAGGAGGCAGGUAGCCUAGUGGUUAGAGGAGGCAGGUAGCCUAGUGGUUAGAGGAGGCAGGUAGCCUAGUGGUUAGAGGAGGCAGGUAGCCUAGUGGUUAGAGGAGGCAGGUAGCCUAGUGGUUAGAGGAGGCAGGAAGCCUAGUGGUUAGAGGAGGCAGGUAGCCUAGUGGUUAGAGGAGGCAGGUAGCCUAGUGGUUAGAGGAGGCAGGUAGCCUAGUGGUUAGAGGAGGCAGGUAGCCUAGUGGUUAGAGGAGGCAGUUAGCCUAGUGGUUAGAGGAGGCAGGUAGCCUAGUGGUUAGAGGUGGCAGGUAGCCUGGUGGUUAGAGGAUCUAUACCAUGUUACCAUGUUACUAUGUCUGUUGUGUCAGUGUACUCAUUAGUCCUGUGUUCGGCCUCUUUGUCUUUAGCUAUAAAGUGGGAAGGGCACCGCCGUCCGGCCCCCAGGCAGCCAGGCAGGUUGAGUGUUAAUAUGGACCGAAU